GCCCUCGUAGCUCAGUAGGAUAGAGCAACGGUUUCCUAAACCGUAGGCCACAGGUUCGAAUCCUGUCGAGGGCGCCA
This 77-nucleotide transfer RNA is filed under the name Mariprofundaceae bacterium. RNAcentral's name for it is "tRNA-Arg". It matches the Rfam family "tRNA". Rfam says of the family: Transfer RNA (tRNA) molecules are approximately 80 nucleotides in length. Their secondary structure includes four short double-helical elements and three loops (D, anti-codon, and T loops). Further hydrogen bonds mediate the characteristic L-shaped molecular structure. tRNAs have two regions of fundamental functional importance: the anti-codon, which is responsible for specific mRNA codon recognition, and the 3' end, to which the tRNAs corresponding amino acid is attached (by aminoacyl-tRNA synthetases). tRNAs cope with the degeneracy of the genetic code in two manners: having more than one tRNA (with a specific anti-codon) for a particular amino acid; and 'wobble' base-pairing, i.e. permitting non-standard base-pairing at the 3rd anti-codon position. The record is from RNAcentral. Lineage: Bacteria; Pseudomonadati; Pseudomonadota; Candidatius Mariprofundia; Mariprofundales; Mariprofundaceae.